GAUGAACGCUGGCGGCGUGCCUAAUACAUGCAAGUCGAGCGAACAGACGAGGAGCUUGCUCCUCUGACGUUAGCGGCGGACGGGUGAGUAACACGUGGAUAACCUACCUAUAAGACUGGGAUAACUUCGGGAAACCGGAGCUAAUACCGGAUAAUAUAUUGAACCGCAUGGUUCAAUAGUGAAAGACGGUUUUGCUGUCACUUAUAGAUGGAUCCGCGCCGCAUUAGCUAGUUGGUAAGGUAACGGCUUACCAAGGCAACGAUGCGUAGCCGACCUGAGAGGGUGAUCGGCCACACUGGAACUGAGACACGGUCCAGACUCUUACGGGAGGCAGCAGUAGGGAAUCUUCCGCAAGGGGCGAAAGCCUGACGGAGCAACGCCGCGUGAGUGAUGAAGGUCUUCGGAUCGUAAAACUCUGUUAUUAGGGAAGAACAAAUGUGUAAGUAACUAUGCACGUCUUGACGGUACCUAAUCAGAAAGCCACGGCUAACUACG
RNAcentral lists this ribosomal RNA (495 nucleotides) under uncultured bacterium. RNAcentral describes it as "partial 16S ribosomal RNA". It matches the Rfam family "Bacterial small subunit ribosomal RNA", at positions 28 to 505 of the family's 1533-position model. The record is from RNAcentral.